GCUUCUUGGAAAGAUUUCCCUCCUUGAUAAAAGGGUGUGGACAAUCGGGCAAGUGACUGCAUGUGACAACAGAGAGAGGGCAUGGUACACGGUGGCAGAUGAGCCCGGGACUGGAGGCAGAUCUGGGUUCCAGUUCGGGCUCUACCAGCAGCACCCAUGUGUCCUUCUGUUCUCUGGGCCUCAAUUUCCUGUUGUAAAAUUCAGAACUUGGAAGAGGUAAGUGGUUAGGUCAUUCCUGAGACAUCCCAGAUAAUCACAGCCAUCCAAACGUUGGCUCGGGAGCCCUGAGUAACCAAGACUGCAGGAAGCAACAGUUUAGUAAGGGUUCAGAAUCCUGUGAUUAGGGCUCGAGAAUGAAAUACUCUUCUAAGAGCUUCUCCCAGACCAAAAGGAGCUAAUUAGGAAAGAAUGGUGGCAUUCUCUGGGCAAACUGGAGGAGCCCCUGGGCUUGGCCUCCUUAUGCCUUCCUCCUUGACCCUCCUCUAGCCCCCUUGGACACAACACAACGUCCCCCCUCUGCUUUUUCCCCAGAUACUAUGGUAAACCUGCUCUCAGAUCUUUCUCCACACCUAGAAAAAUUCAUUCAUCGACUAUACACUUUAAUGAAUAUGCACUUACUAUGUACCAGAUAUUCUUUGGCUGCUAGGGCAGAGCAGCAGGGACAUAGCCCCUGUCCCCGUGGGGUCAACAUGCUGGUGGAGGGAGUCAGAGGUAAUAAAAUAAGCAAGUAAGACACACAGUAGAGCAGGCAGAGUUGGCGGAGAACUGGAUCUAACUGGGUUGGGGUUUUGCCAAGCAAGUACAGUCCAACUUGGAGUGUGGAGGGAAGGGUAUAGAAAAGGUAGGGACUAGAAUAACUAACCCUGGAAUUUAGGCUGGGAAAGGAGGGAGUAGGGAUUUGAAAGCGGGUGAGGUCAGUAGUCUGUGGGGCCCUGAGGGGCGAUGGCUCCAAGGCACGAGCCGGAAAGAGGUUUGACAGUGGCUUCUCUGGAGGGCUCAAGCUUGACCAGGAAACUGAGUGCCGAGCCCUGGAAGAUCACUGGGGAGAGGAGGUCAAAGAACUGGGAGGCCAGGGCACCAUCGGCGGGCUGGUAAGUGGAUGGUGAAACCACCAGGCAGGGGGCAGGAGGAGCUGGAGAGAGGACGCGAGAUGGGAGCUAAAAUCCUAAAAUCCGCAGGGAGUGCGGAAAGCAGUGACAGCAGUGAGCGCGGGGAGGCUGGUCCUGAGUCUGGGAUGGGGCGAUGGCGUUCAAGAAGACAUAUUUAAGAGUACUAUGUAAUUUUACGUGUGGGAAGAACCUUUUGUUUUUGUAAUUAGAACUACAGAAAGGGACAGAGCUGUUUAUGUCAUGAAAAGCAGGCCUGAGCAUUAGAAGACUGAGAAACACCUGGGAGGAUCUUGUUUCAACAGAGCUCAAAGCCGUGGCAAAAGGACGGAGCUCGAAUUGUGCAAUUAAACCCAGGCCCCCAGCAAAUGGAAAAUGCCAUCCACUGGCACAGAGACUUCAGUUGGGAGCCGAGGACUGAACUCAGACCACCAUUCUUUGUUCAACAUUUCUUCCUGAGGGGCCUGGAGGAAGUCACACCCACAGGCCAGAGCUCAACAUUCCUUUCUGCUGACCCCAGGUUUUUAGACAAAGCUUUGCCUCCUUAACCAAUCACAAAUCAGAGGAUCUUUGAAUCCACCUAUGACCUGCGGGCCCCGCUUCGAGAUGUCCCACCCUUUUAGGUCAAACCAAUGCACAGUUUCCAUGUAUUGAUUUAUGACUUUGCCUGUAACCUCUGCCUCCCUGCCUUUAAAAACCCUUACCUGUGAGCCACCCUGGAGUUCGGGGCUUAAGCAUGAGCUGCCCGAUUCUCCUUGCUUGGCACCCUGCAGUAAAUGCCUCACUUUCUCUUGCUGCAAAUCCCAAUGUCAGUGCUUGGCUUUGCUGCACCUGGUGGGCAGACCCAAGUUUGGCAACAGAGUCUGUGGGAGAAAGUGCUGUCAGAGGAACAUGCUGGAGCAGCCAGAUUAUAGAAGAAAGAAGUAUCGUUAUGGUUAAGUCUGUGAGCAGAUUUGAGGAGAAGCUAACGAAUGGCACCAAGUGUGUUCAGCAUCUCCCCUUCUAGGGUGUCAUCUGACAGAUGUGUUAUCUGACAGAUGUGCUGCUCAUGCCUUCUGCACCUGAGGUCAGGGAUGCUCACACAGAAUGGGUUGUAACUGCAUAAGGUCGGGAGCCCCCUCUACAUCCACCAAAUAGAGGAUGAGUUGAGUAUGCAGAUAAUAAAGCAGAAUAAGGAAAGGCUUUUUAUGAACUGACAGGGAAAGACUAUCAAGAAAUACUAAGUUAAAAAAAAAAACAAAACCCUCAGUGCCAAACAGUACAUAUAGGAUGCCACCAUUUUUUUUGUCUAAAAAAUGGGGAAGAAUAUCUAUGGAAUAUACUCAUUUAUAUAUGAAUUGAAUAUUCUAAAGCUAGUUGCAAGAAACUAGUACCCUUACUUUUCUCUAGGAAGGAAAACUGGGAAAUAGUAGGAAGAGGAUUAUCACUGUAUAUCCUUUUGUACCCUUUGAUUUUGAGACCAUGUAAAUGCAAUUAUCUAAGAGAGAGAGAGAGGAAGGAGGAGGAGGAGAAAAAGGAGGUGGAAGAGGAAGGGAGAGAAAGAAACGCUGUGCAUGGGCUCUAGAAUCAGACGGACUUGUGAAUUCCAGCUCCACUGCUUCCCAGCUGUGUGACCUUGCCCAAGCUACUCAACCUCUCUGGGGCUCAAUCUGUGCAGGAAAGGGGCAUGACAAUUACAUAAUGCCUCCAACCCACCUGGACUGUUGGGAGAUUGAGACUAAUGAGUUUAAAGCUCUUAGCUAGAAAUGGUUGCUGUAGAUGUUUAGCCAGCCCUGGCUUCACACUCUCCAGACCAGCUUCCAAACUUCCUGGAGGGCACAUGCAAUUCAUCUUUUCCUUUCCCAUGCAAUUCCCCAGGCACCAGUCCAUGGCACUCCCUAUGCCUGCAGGAUACCACAUCAAAGCAGAGUUGGGGGAGCAUUUCAGGAGGUUCCUGUGAAAAACCUACAUGCACACACCCCCACGUGCAGCUGCAGACUGCUAUCUAUACACGAAGUUAUGCAUCGCAGAGUCGACUGCAAAAGGCUGGAGCCCACACAGCGUCUAUCAAUAGGGAACGGGUUAAAUCGACCACAAGAUUUCCAUAUGACGAUGGAACACUUUCCAGCCAAGAAAGGAGGAGGAAGUCCUCACUGCUCUGAUACGGAACAGUCACCAAGACAUAUUUUAAGUAAAAAAAAGGCAGCAUGCAUAACCAGGGAAAUGAAAACUAAAACCACAGUGAGUUACAAUUUCACACAGAUCCAUCUACAAAAAAAAAAAAGCUGAUAAUUGCAGGUGUUGGUGAAGAAGUGGAGUGAGGGGAAUGCUCAAACUACUAGUGGGUGUGCGAAUGGUUAUAACCACUUUUUAAAAUUUUGGCAUUAUCUACUGAAGUUGACAAUGUACUUUCCCAAUGGCCUUGCAAAUGCCCUGGAGAAGUUCUUACCCAACCCCCGCCAUUCCCCCCAACACACACCAAAAGAAACAAUUAAGAACAUUUGCACCAGCUCUGUUCCUAGAACCCCAAAACUGAGGCCAGCACUGAGGCCAAGCACAGUGGCUCAUGCCUGUAAUCCCAGCAGGCAUGAGCCACCCUUUGGGAGCCUGAGGCCGGAGGAUUAUUGAGGUUGAGAGUUCAAGACCAGCCUGGGCAACAUAGUGAGACCUUGUCUCUAUAAAAGAAGUUUUAAAAAUUAGCCAGGUGUGAUGGCUCAUGCUUGUAGUCCCAGCUAAUUGGGAGGCUGAGGUAGGAGGAUCGUUUCUUGAGCCCUGGAGGUUGAGGCUGCAGUGAGCCAUGAUUGCACCACUGCACUCCAGCCUGGGCAACAGAAUGAGACCCUGUCUCAAAAAAUAAAAUUAAAUUAGAAAACAAUAAUAAUUAUUAUUAAUAAAUAAAAUAGUCCAAUGAAAAUAAUCAUACUAUCUCCAUGCAAUGGAAUUCUAUACAAGAGUGAAAAUGAACUAACUCCGGACAUGCGUAUCAGUACACUGAACUUCAGAACUAUAAUUAUGGGUGGGACAAAAGCCAGCCAUAGAAAACUAUUCUAUUCAUAAUCCCAAAAAGGUAGUAUACCAUAUUCAAUUAUUAUAUAUAUUUAUGUCUUGUUAUAUAUAAUGUUUAUUACAUUUAUCUUAGUAUAAAAAUAUAGUAUAUUUAUCAUAAUCUAUUAUAAACAAGUAGUAGGAUUAUAAAAAGACAAAAAGGGCAGGAUAAGCGUAAAAUUCAUGAUAGUAUUUAGGGGAAGAGGAGGGUGGGGCUGGAGAGAGGCACAUGGUUUCAAAAGCCCAGCUUCUUUGUCUAAAACAGGGCGUGGGUACCCAUACUGGUCUAUUGUAUUGUGGGUGUCUUUAAAAUGUAUAUAUAUUCUAUAACUACUAUUUUUGUAUCUAC
This 4479-nucleotide long non-coding RNA is filed under the name Homo sapiens (human). RNAcentral's name for it is "HSALNT0334044". Lineage: Eukaryota; Metazoa; Chordata; Mammalia; Primates; Hominidae. The record is from RNAcentral.